This 23-nucleotide non-coding RNA is filed under the name Cricetulus griseus (Chinese hamster). Lineage: Eukaryota; Metazoa; Chordata; Mammalia; Rodentia; Cricetidae. The record is from RNAcentral.
UGCUCGAACAGUUGGUGGAGGCC